Molecule: ribosomal RNA, 367 nt
Filed under: uncultured bacterium
Lineage: Bacteria
Description: bacterial SSU rRNA
Rfam family: Bacterial small subunit ribosomal RNA
Source: RNAcentral
UACGUAGGGAGCAAGCGUUAUCCGGAUUUAUUGGGCGUAAAGGGUGCGUAGGCGGUUUGUUAAGUAUGAGAUUAAAGCCUGGGGCUUAACCUCAGUUCGUUUCAUAAACUGGCAGACUUGAGUAUGGCAGAGGUAAACGGAAUUUCUAGUGUAGCGGUUAAAUGCGUAGAUAUUAGAAGGAACACCAGUGGCGAAGGCGGUUUACUGGGCCAUAACUGACGCUGAGGCACGAAAGCGUGGGGAGCAAAUAGGAUUAGAUACCCUAGUAGUCCACGCCGUAAACGAUGAGUACUAAGUGUUGGGGCAACCCAGUGCUGAAGUUAACACAUUAAGUACUCCGCCUGAGUAGUACGGUCGCAAGGCUGAA